Molecule: long non-coding RNA, 755 nt
Filed under: Gouania willdenowi (blunt-snouted clingfish)
Lineage: Eukaryota; Metazoa; Chordata; Actinopteri; Blenniiformes; Gobiesocidae
Description: lncRNA (ENSGWIG00000010580.1)
Source: RNAcentral
GGACUGGAGCCGCUUGUACUAAAGUCCCCUAAGCAAGGGCACAGCUCUUGUUACCGCCUGCUAAUGGAGUGGGGCUAUUUCAGUAGCAUUGAUUGACUGCUUUCUUCCUCUGAGGGAGCAACUUUCUCAUAUCUAGGGGAAAUGGAUCAUAAGCACCCUAGCAAAUGAGAGAAGGCCGGUGGAGGACGGAUGAUGAUGUCGGUGGCACGAAAAGGCCCUCUGUGCUACUGUCUGGUGGGGUGCAGUCAUUCCACCAUGGAACAUGACAAAGCCCAGUCCUCCCUGGCCACUAAACAAAACAUCUUUCCUGCCUGAUUGUUUUCAACAUGGGAAAAGAGGGGUUAAAACUGAGGAAAUGGACGACCUGAUUGCUAUCCGAGGAUUCAUAAAUUCUUUAUGGGCAAGUGGAAGUUUAAGGGCUGAUGAAUUCAGUCUGUGAGACUGGUCCUGCCAAACGUGCUCUUCCUUCAACCUGGCCAUCACCCCAACGACUAAGAUAAAAGUACACACAGGAUAUUUUUCUUUGAUUUAACCAUUUUUCAGCUUCCUUUAGUUUCAUCUUAAACCAAGCAUACAUUUUCUUUCAACUCGUUUUUACUGAAUUGUAAAGACUGGCCAUUUCAUGUAUAUCCUCCCUUCGGGUGCUGAUAGCAUUUUUCCUGUUCUAUCUCUAUAUGGGCACAUCAACCUUGUUCCUUUGUUGUCACAACCCUAACACAAAUAAAAUUCUAUAUAAAUAGAUAGUAGCCUGUCUG